RNAcentral lists this ribosomal RNA (826 nucleotides) under uncultured bacterium. Its description in RNAcentral is "bacterial SSU rRNA". It matches the Rfam family "Bacterial small subunit ribosomal RNA", at positions 9 to 818 of the family's 1533-position model. The record is from RNAcentral.
GAGUUUGAUCCUGGCUCAGGACGAACGCUGGCGGCGUGCCUAAUACAUGCAAGUUGAACGCAACAAAGACACCAGAGCUUGCUCUACCGUCUUUGUUGAGUAGCGAACGGGUGAGUAACGCGUGGGUAACCUGCCUUAUAGCGGGGGAUAACUAUUGGAAACGAUAGCUAAUACCGCAUAACAAUAGAGAUUGCAUAAUCUUUAUUUGAAAGUGCCAACUGGUACACUAUGAGAUGGACCCGCGUUGUAUUAGCUAGUUGGUAGUGUAAUGGACUACCAAGGCGAUGAUACAUAGCCGACCUGAGAGGGUGAUCGGCCACAUUGGGACUGAGACACGGCCCAAACUCCUACGGGAGGCAGCAGUAGGGAAUCUUCGGCAAUGGACGAAAGUCUGACCGAGCAACGCCGCGUGAGUGAAGAAGGUUUUCGGAUCGUAAAACUCUGUUGUUAGAGAAGAAUGUUGAUUAGAGUGGAAAAUUAAUCAAGUGACGGUAUCUAACCAGAAAGGGACGGCUAACUACGUGCCAGCAGCCGCGGUAAUACGUAGGUCCCGAGCGUUGUCCGGAUUUAUUGGGCGUAAAGCGAGCGCAGGUGGUUUAAUAAGUCUGAUGUAAAAGGCAGUGGCUCAACCAUUGUGUGCAUUGGAAACUGUUAGACUUGAGUGCAGUAGAGGAGAGUGGAAUUCCAUGUGUAGCGGUGAAUGCGUAGAUAUAUGGAGGAACACCGGUGGCGAAGCGGCUCUCUGGACUGUCACUGACACUGAGGCUCGAAAGCGUGGGUAGCAACAGGAUAGAUACCUGGUAGUCCCGCCGUAACGAUGAUGCUA